RNAcentral lists this long non-coding RNA (421 nucleotides) under Mytilus galloprovincialis (Mediterranean mussel). The record is from RNAcentral. Lineage: Eukaryota; Metazoa; Mollusca; Bivalvia; Mytilida; Mytilidae.
UUUUUUGUAAAGGAACAUUUUUUCCAUAGAAAAACAAAAGAAUAUUGGGUAUCAAUCCGUGACAGAAAAUGAAUAUAACCACAUUAAAAAAUUAAGCAAAGGAACAGCGCUGUAAUUGCUGUAAGUCACAUUAAACCUUCAACGUGGAACGAAAAGUAUCUCACAGCACUGCACGUGUAAGACGACCACUAGCAACAGCCAGAGCGAAAUAGUUUGCCAAAAAAAAUGAAUAGACUUCGUAAGAUGUUACACCAACCAUUUUGGGAGCGUUCAAAAAGGAAAGAAGUACGUAUUUAAAAAUUUUAGUAGUUCUUACGUAUUUAAAUCAAACUAUAUUAUAUGCAGAAUAAUUUUUGGUAAGUUAUAUAGAUACAUAUAUCAAAUGAAAGGGUAAGGACUGCUGAACCUUGCAGAACACACA